Molecule: ribosomal RNA, 433 nt
Filed under: uncultured bacterium
Lineage: Bacteria
Description: partial 16S ribosomal RNA
Rfam family: Bacterial small subunit ribosomal RNA
Source: RNAcentral
AACGAACGCUGGCGGCAUGCCUAACACAUGCAAGUCGAACGAGACCUUCGGGUCUAGUGGCGCACGGGUGCGUAACGCGUGGGAACCUGCCCUUAGGUUCGGACUAACUCCCCGAAAGGGGUGCUAAUACCGGAUAAUGUCUUAGGACCAAAGAUUUAUCGCCUUUGGUUGGGCCCGCGUUGGAUUAGCUAGUUGGUAGGGUAAAAGCCUACCAAGGCGACGAUCCAUAGCUGGUCUGAGAGGAUGAUCAGCCACACUGGGACUGGGACACGGCCCAGACUCCUACGGGAGGCAGCAGUGGGGAAUAUUGGACAAUGGGCGAAAGCCUGAUCCAGCAAUGCCGCGUGAGUGAUGAAGGCCUUAGGGUUGUAAAGCUCUUUUACCCGGGAUGAUAAUGACAGUACCGGGAGAAUAAGCUCCGGCUAACUCCGUG